AGAGUUUGAUCCUGGCUCAGAUUGAACGCUGGCGGUAUGCUUAACACAUGCAAGUCGAACGGUAACAGGUAAUGACUUCGGUCAUUAUGCUGACGAGUGGCGGACGGGUGAGUAACGCGUAGGAAUCUAGCUUUUAGUGGGGGAUAACUCCGGGAAACCGGAGCUAAUACCGCAUGAGUUCUGUGGAAGAAAGGGUGGGCCCUCUUUUGAGGCCACUCGCGAAAAGAUGAGCCUGCGUCGGAUUAGCUAGUUGGUGGGGUAAAGGCCUACCAAGGCGACGAUCCGUAGCUGGUCUGAGAGGAUGAGCAGCCACACUGGGACUGAGACACGGCCCAGACUCCUACGGGAGGCAGCAGUGGGGAAUAUUGGACAAUGGGCGGAAGCCUGAUCCAGCAAUACCGCGUGUGUGAAUAAGGCCUGCGGGUUGUAAAGCACUUUCAUUGGGGAAGAAGGGCUUUGUGUUUAUAGCACAGAGCAUUGACGUUACCCAAAGAAGAAGCACCGGCUAACUCUGUGCCAGCAGCCGCGGUAAUACAGAGGGUGCGAGCGUUAAUCGGAAUAACUGGGCGUAAAGCGCACGUAGGUGGAUAGAUAAGUCUUGUGUGAAAGCCCUGGGCUCAACCUGGGAAUGCCAUGAGAAACUGUCUGUCUAGAGUAUGAGAGAGGGAAGCGGAAUUUCCGGUGUAGCGGUGAAAUGCGUAGAUAUCGGAAGGAACACCAGUGGCGAAGGCGGCUUUCUGGCUCAAUACUGACACUGAGGAGCGAAAGCGUGGGUAGCAAACAGGAUUAGAUACCCUGGUAGUCCACGCUGUAAACGAUGAGAACUAGAUGUCAGGCACUUUUAGGUGCUUGGUAUCGCAGCUAACGCGUUAAGUUCUCCGCCUGGGGAGUACGGCCGCAAGGUUAAAACUCAAAGGAAUUGACGGGGGCCUGCACAAGCGGUGGGGCAUGUGGUUUAAUUCGAUGCAACGCGAAGAACCUUACCUACCCUUGACAUACUGGGAAUUAGCUAGAGAUAGCUGAGUGCCUUCGGGAAUCCAGAUACAGGUGCUGCAUGGCUGUCGUCAGCUCGUGUCGUGAGAUGUUGGGUUAAGUCCCGUAACGAGCGCAACCCUUAUCCUUAGUUACCAGCACGUAGUGGUGGGGACUCUAGGGAGACUGCCGGUGAUAAACCGGAGGAAGGUGGGGACGAUGUCAAGUCAUCAUGGCCCUUAUGGGUAGGGCUACACACGUGCUACAAUGGGUAAAACAGAGGGCAGCGAGACGGCGACGUUAAGCAAAUCCCUAAAAGUUACUCUCAGUCCGGAUUGGAGUCUGCAACUCGACUCCAUGAAGUUGGAAUCGCUAGUAAUCGCGGAUCAGCAUGCCGCGGUGAAUACGUUCACGGGCCUUGUACACACUGCCCGUCACACCAUGGGAGUGGGCUGUACCAGAAGUAGGUAGACUAACCUUCGGGGGGUCGCUUACCACGGUAUGGUUCAUGACUGGGGUGAAGUCGUAACAAGGUA
Molecule: ribosomal RNA, 1508 nt
Filed under: metagenome
Description: bacterial SSU rRNA
Rfam family: Bacterial small subunit ribosomal RNA
Source: RNAcentral